Molecule: ribosomal RNA, 495 nt
Filed under: uncultured bacterium
Lineage: Bacteria
Description: bacterial SSU rRNA
Rfam family: Bacterial small subunit ribosomal RNA
Source: RNAcentral
AGGAUGAACGCUGGCGGCGUGCCUAACACAUGCAAGUCGAACGGAGCUUACUUGAAGGAGACUUCGGUCAACGGAAGGGUAAGCUUAGUGGCGGACGGGUGAGUAACGCGUGGAGAACCUGCCCUGUACAGGGGGAUAACAGUGAGAAAUCACUGCUAAUACCGCAUAAGCGCACAGUACCGCAUGGUACAGUGUGAAAAAACUCCGGUGGUACAGGAUGGCUCCGCGUUGGAUUAGCCAGUUGGCGGGGUAACGGCCCACCAAAGCGACGAUCCAUAGCCGGCCUGAGAGGGUGAACGGCCACAUUGGGACUGAGACACGGCCCAGACUCCUACGGGAGGCAGCAGUGGGGAAUAUUGCACAAUGGGGGAAACCCUGAUGCAGCGAACCGCCGCGUGAAGGAAGAAGUAUCUCGGUAUGUAAACUUCUAUCAGCAGGGAAGAUGAUGACGGUACCUGACUAAGAAGCCCCGGCUAACUACGUGCCAGCAGCUGC